CUGUUACCAAGGCCCGGCCUCAGCAGGACAAAACCAGGUGUGUGGUGGUUUUCGUCUGCCUGCUGAGCCUCACAAAGGGAGCCCCUCGCAGCGUUGGGAAGGGUCUGUCAAACACUGCCUUCCAAUCAGAAUCUCUCAAGCUAGGACCAAAGAGCAGAAAAGGCGCGAUGCCUAGGCCCUCUUUCCAGCGAAAGACUGCAUCCAGGCCUGGCACCUGCCGACAGACACAGGAUGUGAACUGCCAUCGGUCGCUGCCUCACCCCUCCCCUUGAGGACCUCGGCAGCCCCCUUCCGAGGACUGUCUGGAGAGCUCGUAAAUGGAGCCUUCACCCAGGUUGCACUUCAGGGCAGGCAGCCAGGUGCAGCUGGAUCACGGAUCUUGGUCAGGUGAUGAUGUC
RNAcentral lists this long non-coding RNA (398 nucleotides) under Equus caballus (horse). Its description in RNAcentral is "lncRNA (ENSECAG00000053008.1)". Lineage: Eukaryota; Metazoa; Chordata; Mammalia; Perissodactyla; Equidae. The record is from RNAcentral.